This is a non-coding RNA of Melozone crissalis (California towhee), 384 nucleotides long. NCBI's taxonomy places the organism in Eukaryota, Metazoa, Chordata, Aves, Passeriformes, Passerellidae. The record is from the annotation of a RefSeq genome assembly.
GGGCUCCGGGCGGCCGUGACCCUGCUGGAGUGCGGGGGGGACCUCCAGACCCCCGGGGGGUCCCUGCGCCUCCUCUGCCCAGGGUCCGGGUUCAGUUUCGGGAGCUACGACAUGAACUGGAUCCGCCAGAGACCCGGGCAGGGCCUGGAGUGGCUUGCAGGGAUCAGCUGGGAUGGUUCCGGCACCUUCUACGCGCCAUCAGUCAAGGGCCAGUCCAGGAUCUCCAGGGACAACGGGCAGAGCUCGGUGACGCUGACCAUGAACAACCUCAAGGACGAGGAUUCCGGAUCCUAUUUCUGUGCCAAAAGUGCUUAUGCUGGUUAUUUGCACGACGCCAACCAUGGAGCCAAACCCCCAAACUGGUUCUGCCCUAAAUCCAACUAA